RNAcentral lists this transfer RNA (66 nucleotides) under Cheddikulama straminea. RNAcentral's name for it is "tRNA-Asp". The record is from RNAcentral. Lineage: Eukaryota; Metazoa; Arthropoda; Insecta; Mantodea; Toxoderidae.
AAGAGGUUAGUUAAAUUAUAACAUUAGUAUGUCAUACUAAAAUUAUUAGAUUUCUAAUACAUCUUU